Molecule: ribosomal RNA, 496 nt
Filed under: uncultured bacterium
Lineage: Bacteria
Description: partial 16S ribosomal RNA
Rfam family: Bacterial small subunit ribosomal RNA
Source: RNAcentral
AUGAACGCUGGCGGCGUGCCUAAUACAUGCAAGUCGAGCGAACGGACGAGAAGCUUGCUUCUCUGAUGUUAGCGGCGGACGGGUGAGUAACACGUGGAUAACCUACCUAUAAGACUGGGAUAACUUCGGGAAACCGGAGCUAAUACCGGAUAAUAUUUUGAACCGCAUGGUUCAAAAGUGAAAGACGGUCUUGCUGUCACUUAUAGAUGGAUCCGCGCUGCAUUAGCUAGUUGGUAAGGUAACGGCUUGCCAAGGCAACGAUGCAUAGCCGACCUGAGAGGGUGAUCGGCCACACUGGAACUGAGACACGGUCCAGACUCCUACGGGAGGCAGCAGUAGGGAAUCUUCCGCAAUGGGCGAAAGCCUGACGGAGCAACGCCGCGUGAGUGAUGAAGGUCUUCGGAUCGUAAAACUCUAUUAUUAGGGAAGAACAUAUGUGUAAGUAACUGUGCACAUCUUGACGGUACCUAAUCAGAAAGCCACGGCUAACUACGUG